This 502-nucleotide ribosomal RNA is filed under the name uncultured bacterium. RNAcentral describes it as "partial 16S ribosomal RNA". It matches the Rfam family "Bacterial small subunit ribosomal RNA", at positions 30 to 523 of the family's 1533-position model. The record is from RNAcentral.
AUUGAACGCUGGCGGAAUGCUUUACACAUGCAAGUCGAACGGCAGCAUAGGUGCUUGCACCUGAUGGCGAGUGGCGAACGGGUGAGUAAUACAUCGGGACGUGCCCAGUCGUGGGGGAUAACGUAGCGAAAGUUACGCUAAUACCGCAUACGAUCUAAGGAUGAAAGCGGGGGACCGUAAGGCCUCGCGCGAUUGGAGCGGCCGAUGUCAGAUUAGGUAGUUGGGUAGGUAAAGGCUCACCAAGCCGACGAUCUGUGGCUGGUCUGAGAGGACGACCAGCCACACUGGGACUGAGACACGGCCCAGACUCCUACGGGAGGCAGCAGUGGGGAAUUUUGGACAAUGGACGCAAGUCUGAUCCAGCCAUUCCGCGUGCAGGACGAAGGCCUUCGGGUUGUAAACUGCUUUUGUACGGAACGAAAAAGCUCUUACUAAUACUAGGAGUCCAUGACGGUACCGUAAGAAUAAGCACCGGCUAACUACGUGCCAGCCGCCGCCGUAA